This 447-nucleotide ribosomal RNA is filed under the name Triticum aestivum (bread wheat). RNAcentral's name for it is "partial small subunit ribosomal RNA". Lineage: Eukaryota; Viridiplantae; Streptophyta; Magnoliopsida; Poales; Poaceae. The record is from RNAcentral.
AUGCUUGACAACGAGAUGGAAGAGAGCCGGAGCGGCGUCAUUGAGAUGUACGACGUGUCCUAUGAUGUCCUCCAUGCUUUUUUCCACUACAUGUACACGGGUGAGGCUCUCCUGGACGAGCAAAUGGCCUGCGAUCUCCUGGUGUUGGCCGAGAAGUAUGAGGUAAAGCACCUGAAGACCUACUGCGAGAAGUUCAUCACAUCCAAGGUGAACAACGACAAUGCCAUCGUCCAUUAUGCGUUUGCGCACCGGCACGGCGCGAAGCAGCUGCUCGAGGCCUCCAUGUCGGCGCUCAUGGAUAGCAUGCCCACGCUGGCGGAGCGGGGAGAGUACAAGGAGCUUGUCGAGAGGGACCCGAGGAUCCUCGUGGAGAUCUACGAGACAUAUGUCAGCCGACAGGACAAUACUGCCGCCAAGAGGGAUUCAGAUUGCUGCUGUAGAAAGUGA